GCGUUGGUGGUGUAAUGGUCACCUUAGUUGCCUUCCAAUCAGUUGAUCCGGGUCCGAUUCCCGGCCAAGGCU
This 72-nucleotide transfer RNA is filed under the name Danaus plexippus plexippus. It matches the Rfam family "tRNA". Rfam says of the family: Transfer RNA (tRNA) molecules are approximately 80 nucleotides in length. Their secondary structure includes four short double-helical elements and three loops (D, anti-codon, and T loops). Lineage: Eukaryota; Metazoa; Arthropoda; Insecta; Lepidoptera; Nymphalidae. The record is from Rfam by way of RNAcentral.